This 28676-nucleotide long non-coding RNA is filed under the name Fragaria vesca (wild strawberry). RNAcentral's name for it is "long non-coding RNA (FVES_LNC000716)". The record is from RNAcentral. Lineage: Eukaryota; Viridiplantae; Streptophyta; Magnoliopsida; Rosales; Rosaceae.
UUUAUUCAUAGAAAAUACCUUUUAGGUUGCUGCACGUUUACUGCAGCAUAUCAGCAAGAAUCAGCUUUCCUGGUUGAACUAGGAAAGCUUCAUUUCUUUAUUUCUGAGUUGAAUUGUAUGCCAUAUACUUACACAAAACACAACCUAUGAAGUAGCAAUUGAGAGAUUGGUCUUGCACAUCUGAAGAAUAAGUUUGAAAAAGUAGAAGAACCAACAUGAACUCAUGGAACACAGGUAAAAUCAUGCAUAUGCAUUUCAUGGUUUUUCAUCGAGGAUAGCAGUAUUGUCUGCUAUCCUAAAAAUCUGGGUUUCCAGCUUUUCAGUCUUUUGUUUCUUUUGUCUUAGGUGUAUGUUUCUUUACCCUUGUUCCAUAAGAACUAUGUCUGGGUGAGAUCCUCAUUUGAAUUUCAAAUUGACAACUAAGAUAAAAGUCAUGCCUUGGUGCUCAAAUUAGUCUAGGGUUUGAUGCCUUUAUCUCAACCCGUGACCCAUGUUUUAGCUCUUAGGCUCCAGCUGUGGUUUGCUGUGUUUGUGAUACACAAACCAAUAUUUGCAGCUGUCUUUGUUUGAUAUCAAAUAAUAGUGGUUUGCUAAACCAUUGUGGUAUUAUGCUUUUGGGAAAAAGUUUGCAAAACCUUUGUCUCUUGCUUUUAAAUCAAACAUUGUUUAUGAUUAUUUUGUUUCUUUCUUUCUUGGCCUAGGACAACUGCAUAUGACCUCUCACAUUCAAAGUUUGGCCAAGGAUCCUUCCUUGCUUUGGCCCUCGUGCCUGCCCUCUUUUGGCACCUCUUUGGCUUGUGUCUCUCUCUUGUUAGAGCACUCCAUCAGCCUAUAUAUAUUGAGCAAGGCUGCCUUUGCUCUGUGGUUGUCAAAAUGUAGUUUUUACAUUUGCAUUGUUGGGUUUUGGUUUUCUUUUGCAUUGUUCAUUAGUCUCUAAGUCUUCCUUUUGUGAUUAUAAACCUUAGAGCUAAACAAAACCUUUUUCUCAUAAACUCAUUGCAUUCUGCAUACCAUGAGAUCAGUUGGUAAUGCAGCAACCCAGGAAGUGUUCAUGAAAGAAGCAGCUGAGGAUAGCUAAGUUCUGAUGUAUCCCACUGAGGUAGCUGGGUUCAUGAAAGAAUCAGUUUAGGAUAACUGAGUUUCUGAGAGUGAAACUUCUGAGAAGUGUUCAAGAAGAAUCAGUUAAGUGAUAGCUGAGUUCUGAGUUGAAACUUCUUAUACCUUCAUGUGUAGCCACUUAGAGACAAGAGAGGUAGUUCUAGAAUAGUUUGGGACUAGGUAGCAUAGCAAGUCGUUGUUGUAUCCUAUACUGUAAUCUUGUAAGGAGUGAGGUACUCAGAAACAAGAGAGAAAGUAUAGAUCUAGACUAGUGGGUAGUUUAGGCAGGAUAGCAAGCCAGUUAUGUAUCCCUAGACUAUAAUCUUGUAAGAAGUGAGUUUUACAUAGUGGAAAGGUUUAUCCCUCAAGAGUUAGGGGCACGCAGUUUUUCUCCCUGAUUGCAGGGUUUCUGCGAGUAAAAAACAUCUUGGUGUUCAUUGUUAUUUUACUGCAACUUUUAUUUAUUGUCAUUGUGUAUUUGUUAUUCAGAAUAGCUAUAACUCUUGCUAUCCCUGAGAACGAAUUUAUACGGAAAAAAGUUGUUAAGGGCCUAUUCACACCCCCACCCCCACCCCGGGACCUUUAGUCUGGCCUUGUUUCGUUAGUUCUGACAGCUUUUGGCUCGUUGGCCAUGGUUGUAUUGAUCAAUUCAUUCAUCGGAUUACCAACAUAUAAAGCAGAUGAGGGUGUGACAAGUUAGUUAUAGGCUUGCAGCGAUUAAAAUUCACUCAUCCAACGACAACAGAAGGAACAAACUAGGAUGAAUAUAUCCACACAAAAGUUGGUUCCCCUUGGGUCUAUUAACUGUUAAUCCACCUGAAAACUGAGCAAAGUAAUUGAAAUUCGUUCUUUCUCUUGGCUAAAUACAAGCAGAAGUAUCUAAUUAUCAAUACAUAGUACAAGCAGAACUAUCUGAUUAUUAAAGUAUUAUAAUCCCAGGGGCCGGCGAACAGUUCAAACCAGAUACUUGCCUACAACUUGGUCUUUGUAAGAAUAGAAAGUUUUUCAGCUUAGUUAGAAUGGAGACAUAGACGAACAAGAAGAAAGAUGUGGUCCGCCCCAAAUACCAACAGAGAAAACUGUCAGACAAAGAGCAUAAGUAAUGCCUUAAUGAUUGGUAUGUGUCCUAUGUAGACGUUAAUCACAAAGAGGUCUCACUGGACGAUUGUUUUUUCAGUACAAAGCAGUUGUAAUCAUCAUUGAUGGGUUUUAAAUACUGCAAGUAUGUUUUGUCAUUAGUAUAUGAUUAGCAAGUCCAGAGUCCAGGGACUGAAAAAAUAAUCUGUUCAUCUGGUAGCUUCUGGUUCAGUGACUUUGCAAUGGCGCUGUUUAUCUUAAUCACCGUGGCACUACUGCUAUCCGUUUUUGCGUUCUCAGCUUUCUUUGUGCUGCGAUCAUGGACUUCAUCACCGAAAAGCAUGGUGGGAAUCCCAGGCAGCUUGGGAUGGCCUAUUGUUGGAGAAAGCUUCUCAUUUAUAUCAGAGUUCUCAAGUCCAUCUGGUAUAUACAGCUUCAUGCACAAGAGGCAGCAGAGGUAAACAAUUAAAUGACAUCAUUUCGUUCAUUACAAGAAACAUACUUUGAUAUAUCUAUGCAUUUCAUGUUAUAUUUUCAGGUAUGGUAAAGUGUUCAAGACUUUUGUCUUGGGUAGAUUCAGUGUGUUCAUGACCGGGAGAGAAGCAAGUAAGAUGUUGUUAGCAGGAAGAGACGGAAUGGUAAGCUUAAACCUGUUCUACACAGGACAGCAGGUGCUAGGUCCAACCAGCUUGCUACAAACUACCGGAGAAGAGCACAAACGGCUUAGACGGCUGAUUGCUGAGCCUCUAUCGGUUGAUGGCCUAAAAAAAUAUUUUCAGUUUAUUAAUAACCUGGCAAUUGAAAUAUUAGAAGAUUGGCCUGGCCGAACUGUUUUUGUCCUUGAAGAAGCUUCUACAGUUAAGUAUUGGUUACCAAGUCAUGUAGCAAAUUUCCUAGUCUAAAGUUUAACUUGUGGGGAAUGAAAGUUAAUUAGUCUGUUAAUUGUGUGUGCAGUUCACUCUCAAAGUUAUUGGUAACAUGAUCAUGAGCUUGGAGCCUGCAGGUGAAGAACAAGAGAAAUUCCGAGCCAAUUUUAAACUCAUUUCUUCCUCCUUUGCAUCCUUGCCAUUCAAAAUCCCUGGAACAGCUUUUCAUUCUGGUAUUCAGGUAUCACAUGCAUCUUUAUAAACCAUCGAUGUUGAUCAGUGACGAACAAAUUGCUGACAUAUUGAUUGUUCCACUUUGUCAGGCACGAGAUAGGAUGUAUGCAAUGUUAGACUCGGCAAUUUCUAAAAGGAGAAAUGGAGAAGGAUUCCAACAAGACUUCUUGGAAUCACUGAUAAUGAAACAUAGCAAACUAGCAGGCAGUGAAGAUAAUAAGGAUAAAUUGACUGACAAACAAUUGAAGGACAAUGUAUUAACUCUACUGGUUGCAGGUCAUGAUACCACAACUGCUGCUCUCACAUGGCUCAUCAAGUUCCUUGGAGAAAAUCCUGUUGUCCUGGAACAACUAAGAGUAAGUCAUCUAUAUGUAGCUUGGUUAUAACUGAUUAUAUUUGGUUUCCAAAAGACUGAAGCCUUAGAAUUGUGGACUUGCAGGAUGAGCACAGACAAAUUCAAGCAAACCGCGAUGGAGUCAAUCUAACUUGGUCCGAAGUUAACAACAUGCCUUACACCGCCAAGGUAAACAGUGUAUCAAUACUCAGAAGUCAGAACCUUAAUGUAAUAAUAUUGUCAAUUAUAAACUCAAGCAUUGUUCAUUGUUGUUGACACUCAGGUAAUCAGCGAAACUCUUCGAAGAGCCACUAUUUUACCUUGGUUUUCAAGAAAGGCUGCCCAGAAUUUUGAGAUUGAUGGUACAAUUUUUUGUCUCCACACACCACAUAACGAAAAGCCUUUGUUUUAAGCUAAUGUUUACUACACCAAGUUUGAUCAUCUGGUUUCUAAGAGAUUUUCCAUUACUGACAGGAUAUAAAAUAGAGAAAGGUUGGUCUAUUAAUUUGGAUGUUGUCUCUAUUCAUCAUGAUCCAGAAGUUUUUCCCGAUCCUGAAAAGUUUGAUCCCUCCAGGUUUGAUGUAAGCGCGCACUGCCCCUACCAAACCUUUUAGCUGUGGCAUUGCUCUCUGAUACAUUGGGAACUAAUUAUGGAAUAAAAAUACAGGAAUCUCUGAAGCCUUUUACCUUUCUUGGAUUUGGUAGCGGACAGCGUAUGUGCCCUGGAAUCAAUUUGGCCAAACUUGAAAUCUCAGUUUUCAUUCAUCACCUGGUCUGCAAAUACAAGUAAGAUGAAGAGGAACUGUGAGAAAUAUGGUCUAAAAUAGAAUGUAACAGAGAAUGUUUUUAAGAAACCGAAGUUUGGAAGUAGUUGAUCAAAUGAUCUGAUUUAUUACAUGAUAACUUUAACUAAAUGAGCAUGUCAACUCUUCAUGUAACAAGGAUUUCGUGUUGCAACCUCAAUUCUGAUUCUGGAUUUCUAUGAACUGUUUCAGGUGGAAGCCUCUGGAAAAAGAUGACUCAGUCCAGCCAACACUAGUAAGAAUGCCAAAGAACAAGUAUCCGAUUGUAGCCGAGCCACUUUAGUACAAUUUUCACGAUGCACUUGGCACGACUCGCUGUUUUCUUCCUCCCCCCUGUGAAUAUAUAGUUAACAGCAAAUAGUUCCUUUAUAAGGAGAAUAAUGUGAUCACCAAUAAUGUUGAAGGUUGCAGUGGCACCUUUAACAAAUCAAUUGUGAUUCUGAAUAAUGUUGACUGUUGCAGUCAUUGAUAAUUGCAUUUCAGACAUUCCACACACUUCUUUUCAAUAAGUCCAACCGAUUAAGGAUCACCGUCUAGCUUAUGUUGAAACAAUUGAUAUCAAAGUCCAGCCAUAUCAAACAUAAUAUUGUGUUUGUAUUUGUUUAGCACAUCAGUUAUCUGAGAUAUGUUUCUCAUUGUCAUAAAUAUAAGUUAAACAGUUUUUUCUACAAUCAGUGUUAAUUACCUGAUGUUAAUGUGUUUAAAAACUUGAAUAUGAUCAGUUUUCAAACAUAUCUGAGUAGAAUUGAUCCAUCUGAAAUCCAAAGAAUAGCUCUUCAUCCAUGCUUCUAUGCAACUUCUAUAAUUGUAAGAGAAUAAGUUCGUGUUAUUUAGUUUUUUUUUGUCAGGUAAAUUACAACCUUAAGUCGAACUCACAACCUCUCAUUUAUUAAAAAGAAGACUAUGUCACUAGACCAAAUAGUACUGGGUUUGACGUUAUUUAGGUUAUGAGGAACUUUGACAUCAUGAUCUUGAAUAUGACAUUUAUGCUAGUAAAAGUACAAAUUUAAGAAAGAAAAUCAAAGCAACUCCUUACCGCAGCAACUCCUUAAAACUUAAGAAAGAAAAUCAAAGCAACUCCUUCACAAAUUUAACACUCUUACUGCAGCAACUCCUACAUAAAAAAAAAAAAAAAAAAAAAACAAGAAAUGAUAUAAAAACGUUCGUGUCUCUGAAGUAAUAUACAGUGGAAUAUUCCCCAGUCUAGGCCUUGGUCUUUUUCCAUAUAUUCAAGGGAUUCGUCUUGUGAGUACUCUAAUCCUUUCUCGAAGAACUAGGGUUUAACUGUUUAAGAGUAGCCAUAUCAGUCCCAUUCUUACGGCUUUCCAUAUACUCUUGAAGCAGCCAAACACAUGAGAAAGAUGGCAGGUAAUACGGUUAAUUUGAUAGGACUAUCAGCAUGGUGAAAGAAGUAGAUAUACUGAACUGCGGAGAUAACACAUUGACAGAUGCUGCUAUAGCUAAUCCGUAAGUGUCCGGGCGACUAUUAAAGAAAAUGUUAGAAGGAUAUGGAUACGAUAUGCACUGCAGUUCUCCCAGCUCUUCAGUGUACUAGGCUUUCCUUGUGAAUGAGAUCCCAAAUGCAAGUGAAUACAGCUGCAAUAGCAAGCAGCAUUCCGAUCAAUUCAUUAGGAAAUUGCACAGAAGCUGCUAUAUUAUGCGGCAUAUAUUAUGCUACAUAUCAAAACCAAACAUUUAUGGGGAAAUCAAAAUAUGUAUAAUCAAAAAUUAAUUAUAAUAUUUGGCUGAAAACGUUCUUCAUCAGCUCGACUACUAAUGCUCCCAACACUACUUGUCCAAAACAUAUGACAACUAUAACAAAUAUCAUACAGGAUGCUCCCAACACUACUUGUCCAAAACAUAUGACAACUAUAACAAAUAUCAUACAGGCAAUACAGGUAGUUCACUUCGGCAUGACUGCUUUGUAUGCAAUGCAACAGCAAAAUACCAUGCAUAACACAGCAUCAUGCAGGCAACUUACUUGGGGAGGAACCAAAUCUAAAAAAAAAGAUGACACAUUGGUUAAAAUGAUUCAUUCUGCAACCUACAGAAAUAUACACAGCUAAAUAUCCAACAAUCGCGGAUGUUGGUCAACUAAGAUAUGUUUCUUUCAGUCAUAUAAAUUGUAAUUGUGUGUGACCCUAACGCUGAUUCAUCCGUUGUUUCAAGUAAAGUCUCUUUUUAACAAGCAUGGUUGUAGCAUCCGCUACAUGUAGCUUCACAAGGGAUCCAAGCCCAUGAGAAGCUUUGGAGGGCUAUUUUCUUUCUAUAAAAGGGGUGACUCACCAGGUUGCUGACGAAAGCCAGUUGUUGAGAGAAUUUAUAGCUUCCUUGCAAUCACAUUCCAAACGAAGAGAUGAAAGGUGGAGUUUAUCAGCUAAUGAGCUUCCAUGCAGUCACAUUCCAAUCAAAUCCCUAAUCAAAUGUCCUCCUUACACUUGAUAGUCAAUUCCAUACCCAAGAACUUGGUAACCGAGUAAGCAUUUCAGAUGUAAACAAGUCAAUUCAACAGUAAAGUAACUUCAAACUAUUAAGGUAUUUUUUUAGUCAGAAGGGAUGUUGAAUUUUUUGCAGAUGAUAUGGCACAACAUCAAGUUCCACUUUGUCAAAAGAAAAGAAACUCACACAGUCUCCCAAAACAUGACAAAACUUUAAAGCAGUGCUCCCAAAUUGUCUCUCAAGGGCUUUAAGGUCUGGUUUGGAAGGUGGAUGGCCCCUAUAGAAGAAAAGGCAAGUCAAAAUUAAAAAAUAUUAUUAGGUGAGUAUGAGAUACUCAGAGCACUGUACAAACAAUUAAAGUGACAACCUGAUUACUCAGACUACACAGACCAGGAACGUGCUAUGAGAAUGAGGAAUUAAUAUCUAAUAGAAAAAAAAAAAAAUUUAGCAUCUAAUUAUAAAUAUGGUUAAACUAUAAGGGUUCGAAAAAUGUAGGUACCUAGUAAAACAGAGAACAAAACUUGGAUCACCCGGAGAUGACUUCUUGAACUUGCUGUUUGGGAGAUAUAUAUCAAAAACCGGCCUCACUUCAUUAAUCUGUAUCCCAUUGAAUAAUCCAUGGACAGACUUAAUCUCUUCAGUUUCAGGACAAACUUGAGAAGAAACAGAUUCAUAGUUAGUCUUGACACCUUUCCAAGACCAGGGGAUACCAUGUCUUGCAACAAUGUAACCAAGGGAUUUGAGUUGCCUAUAAGCUCUAAAUUCAUCAAAGAAGAUCAUCUUUCCAUCUAAAACCUUUCUAUAUAUGUCUUCCAAGGAAAUACUAGUAUCACUACCAUCCAACAGAAGCAAAGCGCCUAUUUCAACCAAAUACCUAUAAAAGGAUUGUAACAAUUUACUAAUAGUUAAGUAUUAUGCCAUGCAAGGAAUGGUCACUGAAGCUGAUGAGUAAAAUUAGAACUUUCAUGUGCACAAAUUUCGCUCAGAGAGGAAGUCAAUUAUAGCUCUUAUUAAAAUUUCAGUGACUUCAUAACGAUAACUACAACGAAAAGGAAAGAUUUCAUGAGACAACUAAAAGGCCAUCUACAGCAUGAAAGCUUGAAAGGAAAAACUUUAAGCUAUUGUAAAAAAAUUUAACCACUCAGUAAAACAAUAAAAUCAGUGGUAUCAAGAGUGAACAAGCCCAGUUCUUUCCAGUCAAAUCUAUCCCUAUUUUUCAUGAAGUAUAAAGUUGUUGUAAUUUGCCAGAGAAUCUCACACAGAAAAUGAAAAAAAAGAACAAACGAAAAAACGGACAAGAAGGAUGUAAUAAAGUCAAGAAUCACAACACAACGAAGUUAUCUUUUCACUUACAAAACUUCUUCCAUGGAAAUAUAGAGCUUGGCAUUGCAAGAAAUUCCCGUGGUCCUCCAUAUUCUACCCUUUGGAAAUACGACUGCCAUGCCCAUCUCAUCAUCCCAGCGGGCCGUGGAUACACUAGACCUCCUACAAAAUAGCCCACAAAGCUCACUAUGCGAGCAUAUAUAAAACUUUCCUUUAACUUUUUUGUUUUUCACUAAGAUAGUCUGUUUAAGAAUACCAAUAGUUAAAGAUCAUGAUCGAUCUUAAAGUACUAGUAUAAGUACCACCCAACCUGGGUUGAAUCUUGGAUGUGGGCUGAGAAGCAUAGUGGUUUUCUUCUUCUUCAUCAAGGUCAUUGGUAUAUUCUUCAUCCAAACAUUCUUCACACAUAGUCAUUAACUUUUGAGCUCCCUGUGAAGAUCAAGAGCAAAAAUAUAAAGUACAAAAUUAAACAACACACGGCAGAAGUGCAGAAGAAGAUUGGACUUGUUCUAUCAAAAAUAGCCACAUACAAGCUUGAACAAUAAGAAGAAACAUAAAUCCGAUGAAAUCGGUAAUCCUAUUUUCCUAUCUGGGAAAACAGGUGAAGAAACCGUUGUCCAAUAAUUGGAGAUGCAGAUGAGAAUCAGCUGGUGACAGCUGAUAGAUUUGAUAGAAUACAGUUUAACAGCACCAUGAGACUACAGAAUGUUUGGCCCAUAUGGGCAUACCAGGUAUAUUAACAGUAUUUAGAAAUCCAGAGGUUAAGCAUACUCUAGCAAAUUUACAUAUGGCAGAGAUUGGUUUCAUAUUUGCAUGUUAGAAAGACAUAACAAAACCAAAGACAAUUGAAUUAAUCUGAUUGCUGAUGGUCAGGCACACAUGUAAGACAACACACAAACUUACAGACCUAUGUAUUCACUUUAGUACUUCUCCAUAGGGAACUCUUGAGUCUCCCCACUAGAAGCAUAAUUCUUAAAAUUCUCCAAUAUCAAUCCAUUAAGUUACAAUCAGGUCCCUCUCUAAUGGUACAAAUUAGAGUUGCAAAAGCAUACCUUCUCAUUGCUUCCAUUGUGAGCCAAAUUUCUGAGGGAGAGCUCAUCAUCAGUGAAAACAUUUUCAGAAUCAUCUAUGUCAAGAGGCUCCGAGCCUGAAGAAAAUGCAGAAUCAACAAAUUUUUCUAACAAAAAUAAUGGCUACAAUAUCAACAUUGUUGAAAAAUGAAAAAUUGAGUGCCAGAGGAGAAAUUUAAGGUGAGUGGAAUUGAAGUACCAGUAGAGUGAGUGAAACAAGAGACAAUAUCGGAACCGAGUGGCUCCAAGUUUGUUCCAGUUUCACUUUCAAGUACUUUGUCAUCAUCACGGCAUUGUUCUGGCUUCCAUCUUGUGAUUGUACGCUCUUCAACAGCAAAUGUCUCCACACAUGAUGGAGAGUCUACACUAUGACCGUUACUGCUGAUAUAAAGAACCAACAAUGUCUUGGCAACGCCUCCACAAAGCCGAGUAGUACGAUGAAUAUCUAACCACUCCCUCAGUCGCAUAUUUCCAUCACUAUCUUCCUCUGACAACACCAUCACCGCAUAUUCAGAAUGAACUAGAGCUGGAUGAUGGCAGUAGGCAACAAAGUCCACACCAUAUUUAACUCCAGACCUAACAACCCAAUUUUUCAUUCUAAGGUGAGAAUAAGCCUUGUACAAAUAGGGGAACAAUGCUCUUCUAGAUUCCAAGCACUGCCAUAGCUGGCUAUCAUUCUUUGAGCACUUAUCUUCGACAAUCUCGAGGCAUUUUAGAGAAUGGCAUAGGUAAAAGGCCUCUUCCAUACACAACUGAAACCAGUGCUUAUUCUCCAUCAUUCUAUCACCAAAGCAGGCAGAUUCAAGAAGAUUAACUUGCUCUGGUUUCACUUCAAAAAGUACACUGCUGCCACAUAAAAACCCUCGAGAAUUCGAUUCAAUUAGAGAAGAUUGAAGCUGCAAUACUAUAUUUGACAUGGGUUGUGCAAGAGCUUUGGAUUUAGACAGAGACUUAGCUCGAGAGCUGUUUCCUUUCCAUCUAGGCCCCAUUAGACUACAACAUCAUCAUACAACUAAAGCAUUUGAGACCCAUGUUGUUGAAUUUUGAAUAAAAGAGAAGUUAACAAAAACAAACAGCUAUUAACUGAAAUAACCAACAAAUCCCCAACCCAAUUCAUAUUGAAAUCAAGAACAGAAUGAGCAACCGAAUAAAGCGAACAUUAUAGGUGAAUGGUGCUACACAAUACACCCAAUAGACCAACCAACAUACCUUGUUUGUUUAAAGACGGCGGAGGUCAGGAGGUGGAAGGAACGACGGCGGCGGUGGAAAGAAGGACGACGGAGAGGGCGACGGCGGCUCAGUGGGAGUGAGUGCUUUUGUAUUUUGGUCUUUAUACACGGAGUGGAUCCCAGUUCAGCCCGUGCGCCAGCAGAUAACCCAUCAACGCUUUACAGACCGAGAAACUAAUUCUGGUCGAGGGAUCUUGUCAUUUUUAUUAAAAUCUUUAAACCCACCUCUUUGUUUUUUUCUGAAAAUUUAAACCCAUCUAAUCAUUCUUACAAAGACAUUGAGAUUUGAAUGUCUGGCAUCAAUUAGGCUAUUGAAUCAACAAGGUACAGUUCACCGACAAUUAUCGCUUAGAUAUAUCGUGAAAAAUCUAAUACAAGUUAUAGAUGUCCUGGUGCAAUUGCAUUGAAAAUAAUAGGCAAUUCUAAAAUUAUUGAAAUUAACCUAAUUCAGUGACAUUAGAAAGGGAAAUGCUCUAAUGUCUAAAUAUUUGAAAACUAAAACUCAUUCCAUUUAAAUUUUUAUCUCUUAGCUCAUUCCAAUGACUCUUACCAAAAGAACGAUAUUACCCAUCAUUAAAUUACACCUAACCAGAAGCUAACCGCCAUGUCCUUCGUAACAACCUCUCUCUCUCUCUCUCUCUCUCUCNCUCUCUCACUCUCUCUCUCUCUCUCUCUCGUACUCUCGUACUUCUCUCUACUACUCUCUCGUACUCUCUCGUCUACUACUACGUAACUACGUACUACGUACUACUACUACGUACCGUACCUACUCCGUCGUACGUUACGUUACCGUUACCGUUAACCGUUACCGUUAAAAACCCGUUACCGUUACCGUUUACCUACCGUUUACCCGUACCGUUACCUUUACCUACCUUUACUACUUAAACGUCUCUCUCUCUCUCUCUCUCUCUCUCUCUCUCUCUCUCUCUCUCUCUCUCUCUCUCUCUGAUCCUUCGUCGGUGACCUCAUCCUCGCCUCCACCAUCUCCGGCAACCUCUUUCAUCCUCGCCUCUCUCAAAGAAGCACGACGAAGAGUCCUCGCCUCCACCAUCUCUCUCUAUCUCUCUCUCUAACUCUCACUUACAGAUCCGUCGCCGGCGAUCUCAUUCGCGCCUCCACCAUCUCUGGUGACCUCAUCCUCGCCUCCGCUUAUUGCCCCGGCCUCCUCCUCGCCUGUCACUACAACACUACGAGUCCGAAGAGCAGCGUCAAAUCCAGAUCUAGUCGUUCUCCAACGUCGUCUGCACGUCGUUGCUUGGAAACGUCGAUGCGAGCCGAGCUCACCAAGCUCCAUCAUGCACCACUACGGUCUCCGAUUAGUGGUGGUCGUCCUAGCUUGACUGCACAUCGUCUUUGCCUCUACCUUUGGUUUCGGACUCCUACGUCAACGCCAUCAAGAGUUGGUGUUGUGUAAUGGAGAUUGUUUUCUCAAGGGUUAUAAAGUUCUACUGGGGAUAAUAAUGUUCUACUAGGGGUGAUAAAUUUAUUACUGGUGGUAAUAAAUUUAUAACUAGUCCUUUUUUCUAUUUUUUCUUAGGGUUAUUAUUCUUCUAUCGUCUUCGUUUUUUUGUGUUUUAACUAAUUACUAGGGUUCAGUAACUAAUUACUUAGGACUAGUAAUUGAUUACUGAGGGUCAUUAAUUGAUUACUGGGGGUCAGUAACUCAAUUAUUGAGAAAAUCCGGCGACCGGUGACCAAAUUCUGAUGAUUAACUCAAUUAUUGGGGCUCAAUAACUGAUUACUAUGUAUCAGUAAUUAGCCAGUAACUAGGGUUACUGGGGGUCAGUAACUGGUUACUGGGGGUCAUUAACUGGUCAGUAACUGGUUAUUGGGGGUCAGUAACUAAUUACGGGGGAAAUUCCGGUGACCAGAGUCCAGCUGUUGGGGAAAUUCCGGUGGCCGGAGUCCGGAGGUCAGGAAAAUUUCGGUGACCGGAGUCCAGCGGCCGGUGACCGAAGUCUAGUGAGAUUCCGGCCAAGUAUUCUCUCUUCCAUUUUCUCUCUCUAUGCAUGUUUAAGGGGUGAGGGCAAAAUAGUCUUAAAAUAAUAUGAUUUGUUAAGACUUUAAUAAAAAUUUGUGCAUUUAGGCAUAAAAAAUGUUACCUUAUAUUGGAAUGGCUAAUGAAAAAGAUUGUCAUUGAAAUGGGGAAUAAGGAGUUUAAAUUAGUACUAAAUAAGCAUUUUUCCUUAGAAAUAACCUUCCUGGGUUUGCUAGCUGGUUAUCGAGAUCGUGUGUACCUAGUUUGGUAAUGUCACAUUUUUUUUAUCAAUUAAGUCAUCAAAUAUCAUUAAAAGAGGAAGUGUUACAACAAGUAGGGUUACAAUAAGGACAUGAAUCAUAAAGGGCUACUUAUAAAACAAGUCAGAUCGUUUGAUUUAAACCUAGCAACCUACAUACCAAAAAAAAAGCGGAGAUCGAAAAAUCUACAAGCACACGAUGAGACAAUGAUGGCUAUUAAACCGGUUGUGGGCAUGGUUGAACCAAAUGCAUACCAAUAUAGUCAUGGCUCUCAGACUCGAGAAGGAGAAACAUGCGUAAAUUUAGCCAUCUCUCCUUUUAUUACAAGGCCUUCCACUUUUGCUUUUCUAUGCCGGUGAAUACGUGAUAAGGCAACUGGCAACCCUUGCGAGCCGGACCUUAACCUGUCAUAAGUAUUGUUGUUUUGGCUUGUUUGUUAGAUAAAGUUCAACUUAGCUUCAUCUAAGGUAGGCCUUUUGGUAAGAUUGUCCCUUCAUCCAACUUAGCUUCAUCCAAAGUUACCAAAGCACAAAAACCAUGAUCUUCUCAGAAUGAAUUUUAUACAAAGAGUGCAUAACCACAUAGGUAGAUCGCUCCUACUGGUUCCAUGACUUCCAUCGAUAUAGACUUUAGAUUCCAAAAUAUUCAUUUAUCAGAUGUGUGCCAAGUUCUGCUAUAUGAAUAUAUGUAUCCUCAAAACUGAACUAGCACUGUAUUCAGUAUUCUCAAUUUGUGAAUUCAACUUUGCAGUGAUUGCAAAAAGAUGAUGAAGAGCUCCAAAAUCACCAAUGAAGUUUGAGUGAAAACGUACAAAACCAGUCUGUUUGUUUUCCUGCUGACAGCAAUCCCAGGUACAGCUAGCUAGCUGUUCGCUGAUGCAUGAAAAUAAUUUGUCUAACUGUGACAUAAAUAAUCAGUAUUAUAUAGCUUGUGAGCAACUUGUAUAUCAUGAUUAUCAAUCUGAAUUCGAUCUGAAAUGUAAAUGCAACAGAUAUUCAUGCUAACAUAACAUUUACCAACUUCUGGAAGAUCCAAGGAUAUCAAACUCCUCUCAGCAGGCAUUUCUGUCAUAGUCAAAUUUAUACUAGCUUUCUGUCAAUACACUCCAUACAAACAAACAAAGAAAUUGAUGAAACGGAACCACUUGUAGCUCUUCACUGAUAACGGAUGAUGUGUCCCUGUCAGAUAAAUAUUUUUUUUUAUUUUUUGAAAGAAGAAACUUUCUCAUAAUUUCUUAAUUACUCACAAUUAUCGAUCCCAUUCAAGGGUCUUAUUAGCUUUGCAAACCUUUUGCCGAAGUCUAGCUAGCUAGCUAGACAGGUAGUGGUUUACUCUUAUGGUACUUCUUCCAUAGUCUUGAACCAGCCAAACACAUGAGAUAGAGGGCAGGUAAGGCGCAUAAUCUGAUAGGACUAUUAGCAUUGUAAAAGAAGUAAAUAUACUGAACUGUGGAGAAAACGCAUUGAUAGAUGCUACUGACUAAUCCGUAUGUGUCUAAGUGACUUUCGAAGAAAGUGUCCGAAAGAUGUGGAUAAGAUAUACAGUGUAGUUUUUUCCAGCUCUUCAGUACUAGGCUUUUCCUUUGAAUCAGCUCCCAAAUGCAAGUGAAUACAGCUGCAGCAGCAAGCAGCAUUGCAAUUAAUGCAUAGUGCGGUUUGCUUGGCGAAGAAGCUUGAUCGAAACCAGCAGAAAGAAUCACGAGGAUGAGGGUAAAGAGUAAGAAGUUCCAUUCUGCUGAUGAAGUAGCCUACAUAUAAUGUAGAUAGAAACUUUUUCAGUUAAAAAUUGAAGAGAUAUAAUAUGGAAUUGAAACUGUUCUUUGACUAUGGUUAUGAGAUUCGAGCAUUACAUCCACUGUGGCCUUUUGCUCCUCAUGGUUAACGGUGAUGAUCUUGUCCUUGACACUGGUAUUCCUGCUGACCUCGUCUACUGGUUGCUCAAUAAUCUUCUCCUCAACACUGGUAUUGGUGCUGACCUCGUCUACAGAUUGCUCAAUAAUAUUCUCCUGCAGUAUAUAUAGAUUAUAUAUACAUGUAAUAUAUAAGCAUAACAUAGUAACUUCAAGUAACAUCAUCUGUAAAGCAAUUCUGUUUUGUUUUAUAACAAUAAUCUUUUUUCUUAUCGAUGGAAGAAAGCAAACACAAACGAAAACCCCUACAACAAUUGAAACCAAAGCUAUCAAAGUAAAACAAAACAGAAUUUCAUUUUUAUGCUCAAGAAUUAGAAUGUACCGUUUCCUUCCUGAGGAUACAUCGUUUUAAAGAUUGCACGAUAUCAUUGUAAGCGCUGUUUGAUCCCUACCAUCAAGAAAGAAAGUACUUAGUUUUUGAAUCAUUUCAAGAUGCAUAUAGAACCGAGUUUAUUUAUAUCAUUUCAUGCUUACUUAUGAGAUUCAGUAUGCCAUCCAGUUAAACUUGCCACGGAUGUCAAAGAAGCCCUCCAACGUUUAACCUUGUCCGAGUCUUGUUCUUGUUCAUGCUUGGCGAAGCUUGCUCCAAUAGUUCCUUUUUGUUUUCGGACAUCUGAGGGGUCGACAAGGUGAAAGCCUGGGAAGAUGAGACUACUUGAAUCCCUGUUUGCUUCAAGAAUCUGCACAAGUUGUUCCAAGAGCCGAGGGGAGGAAGUCCGGCGAGAUAAUAACUAGGGCGACCUUCGAGUCUGAUUCCGACCUCCAGGGAAGCUGUGCUUUCUGCUCCCUCAACCUCUUGGCUGUCUCUGAGAGUGAGAAUUCCUUCAUCCUUCAAAGCCUUGUGUAGAAGAUAUGAAAAGUUGCCUGCGUCCUGGCUUGAGCUGCUCAAGAAGACGUCGUACUUCCAUGGAGCUGAGGCGAUGAGUGAGGCCAUCUGUUACACACUGAGGAGAUGAGCCGUCGAUUCGAAGGCACCUGCUUGGUUUUGACUUUUGAAUGAGAGGAAACUGUGCUAAAGGCUAAAAGAAAAAAACGCAAGGCUGGGAAGUUUCUCUUUUGACCAACGACCAAAGUCUUUCUUGAGUUUCCACAACGCUUCAUAUUUCAUUGUCCAUAACGUACUGUACGCCACAAGAACAACUGCAUGCUUCUUUCUUUCUGGUCAGGGCAGUCCAAUACUUCUUACAUUCCAGAAAAACACGCAGACGAUUCUUCACAAAAUAAGAUAAUUUAAGGAGACCAAACAAAAAAUGUUAGUCCUCGAUCAACGACCAACUGCUUUUUUACACUAGAAUAUUAGGGGAUCAGAUCGAUAGAUACAUUUUGUUUCCGGGACAAAAUUUCCAAACUAUGACUUCUCGGACUCGAUCGGUCCAUGCCACCAUAACAAAUUCAGAGCGAUAAUGAAGUGCUAGCUUCUUUUAGGAUAUCUAUUUAGUAUCAUUCCAUAUUCCUUAUAUUUGAACCUUUCUUAUGCUUGACCAAACACCAGGUCAAUUCCACAUAAUCUGCUUCAGGCCUUCAGCUUCAUCUUUCUUAAAGGCUUUCUGAGCAAAGAGUCGUUAUGCUUCUUUAAAUCCAUGUGCCACCGCCAUAUGCAGCACAACUCUUCCAUGACGAAUUAGCAACUCUUCAUUUCUAGUUGUAACAAUGAUUCUGACCAGCCAUUGCUCCUUUCCGCUAAUGUUAAUAUAUAGUUGGUCUAGCUAGCUCAUUGGCAUCAUCAAGGAUAAGAACCUUUUUAUUUUGGAAACAAUGCUCAAUCAUACUGGCUCCACCAGAACCGUACAUUGGAUCUUCUACGAAGUUCUCCUUCAAGAUUUAAAAAAAGAAGCAGGUUUGAAGAUGAACCAGACCGUGUUUUUCAGUAAUAGAAAUAUACCAUGUUUCAAUCUUAUAAUAGAAACGAACUUGUGAUUAUUUUCAGUAUAUACUCCAGCCAAAACUUGCUUUAUGAAAAGGUUGCAAAAGAAAACAAACUAUAAACCCCGAAUAAUACUUUCCAUGGAUCCAACUGCGAAUUCGUGGCAAUUUAUUGUAAGGUAAUAGCUAUUUGUAGUGUUGUACAUCUAGCAUAAUCGUAGAAGAAAAUCAUGUAUAUAAUAAAUUUGAUCAUUUAGCUAUGAAACUGAAAUUCUUAACAGAUCGAUGAUAUACAAUAGCUAUAUGCCCAUAUCUACUCAUCAGUUGUUCACAAAUGAACCAUCACUAAGGUUCGUUUACUCACAAUUAUUCUUUGUACUGGUAUCUAGCUAGAUUUCUGAUCAAUAAUGAUUAUGAUUGCUGUGUAGUCUUGAACCAGCCAAACACAAAAGAAAGAUUGCUGGUAAAAAUGAUAGUUUUAUAGGACUAUCAGCAUGCCAAGAGAAGUAAAUGUAUUGAGUAAUAGAGCAUAUGCACUGAGCAGCGCCUCCAAAUAAUCCGUAAAUGUAAGGGAGAGUACCAAAAGGCACGCUAUCGUGGGGAUGUGGAUAAUAAUACCACCAGAGUUUUCCGAACUUCUUCAGUACUACUUUAUUCUUUAUGCCCUUGUAAAUGAGCUCCAAAAUGCAAGUGAACAAGGCUGCAAUAGAAAACAGCAUACCAAAUAGUGCAUACUGUGGCUUACUUGAGGAGGAGGCCUGAUCAAAACCGGUUGACAAAAUCUCUAGGCCAAGGUUAGUGAUCAAAAAGUUCCACUCUGCUGAAGUAUCCUACAAUAGUAUACAGUAAUUAAGGAGAUUAUUAAACAAAAUAUGCAAUAAAAGUGUUGGCCAGUUAACUAUAAUUCUGAGUUUUUACCACCAAAUCUGUAGUGUGCAUUGGAUGGUUACGGUUGCCCUCGUUAACAUUAAUGCUAGUGUAUGCAACCUGCAUAUAUUGAAUUGUAGUUGAGAAAUACAUACAACUUGCAAACAGGGGAGUGUAUCCUGAGCUAAUUUCAUAUGCAAGUAUCUUUGAAGGUAAAAGGUUGUUGGCAAUCCUUAUAUAGAACAAAACACAACCUAUGAAGCCUAAAGCAAUUGGGAGAUUGGUCUUGCACACCUGAAGAACAAGUUGAAGAAGUAGAAGAACCAAUAUGAUCUCAUGGAACUCAGGUAAAAUCAUGCAUGUGCAUUUCAUGGUUUUUCACAGAGGAUAGCAGUAUCACUUGCCAUCCUAAAAAUCUGGGUUUCCAGCUUUUUGAUCUUUUGUUCUGUUGUCUUAUGUUUAAGUUUCUUUACCCUUGUGGCAUUAAUUUUAUGUCUAGGGGAGAUCCUAAUUUGAAUUUCAAAUUGACAACUAGAAUAUAUAAAGAUCUUACCAUUGUGGUCAAUUUAGUUUUGGGUUUGAUGCCUUUGUUUCAACCCGUGACUUAUGAUGUAAAAGCUCUAAGGCUACAGCUGUGUCUGUGAUACACAAACCAAUAUAACAGCUGUCUUUGUAUGUUCUCUCCCUUUCAGAGUUUGGCCAAGGACAAAAGUCCAAAACUCCUUCCUUGCUUUGGCCCUCGUGCUUGCCCUCUUGUGGCACCUCUUUGGCUUGUGUCUCUCUCUUGUUAGAGCACUCUAUCAGCCUAUAUAUACUGAGCAAGGCUGCCUUUGCUCAGUGGUUGUCAUAAUGUAGUUUUUACAUUUGCAUUGUUAGGUUUUGGUUUUCUUUUGCAUUGUUCAUUAGUCUCUAAGUCUUCCUUUUGUGAUUAUAAACCUUAGAGCUGAACAAAACCUCUUCUCAUAAACUCAUUGCAUUCUGCAUACCAUGAGAUCAGUUGGUAGUGCAGCAACCCAGGAAGUGUUCAUGAAAGAAGCAGCUGAGGAUAGCUGAGUUCUGAUGUAUCCUGCUGAGGUAGUUGGGUUCAUGAAAGAAUCAGUUUAGGAUAGCUGAGUUUCUGAGAGUGAAACUUCUUAGAAGUCUUCAAGAAGAAUCAGUUAAGUGAUAGCUGAGUUCUUAGUUGAAACUUCUUAUACCUUCAUGUGUAGCCACUUAGAGACAAGAGAGCUAGAUCUAGACUAGUUUGGGACUAGGUAGGAUAGCAAGUCGUUGCUGUAUCCUAUACUGUAAUCUUGUAAGGAGUGAGGUACUCAGAAACAAGAAAGUAUAGAUCCAGACUAGUGGGUAGUUUAGGCAGGAUAGCAAGUCAUUCAUGUAUCCCUAGACUAUAAUCUUGUAAGAAGUGAGUUUUACAUAGUGGAAAGGUUUGUCCCUCAAGAGUUAAGGGCACGCAGUUUUUCUCCCUGGUUGCAGGGUUUCUGCGAGUAAAAAACAUCUUGGUGUUCAUUGUUAUUUUACUGCAACUUUUAUUUAUUGUCAUUGUGUAUUUGUUAUUCAGGAUAGCUAUAACCCUUGCUAUCCCUGAGAACGAAUUUAUACGAAAAAAAGUUGUUAAGGGCCUAUUCACCCCCCCUCUAGGACCUUUAAACUUGUAAAAAGUGUGAUGGCAUUAUCUGCAUCAAGUUAAAGACAGUUCUAUGUCAUUUUAGUCUAAAGUAAAAUCUUACCAAGUUGUGUGUGGAUGUCGGAUGCACUCUUUCGGUUGGACUUGGUAUAGGAUGUAUUUUGUUCCAGACUGCUUCAGUAAUUUCUUCUAGAACUUGUACUUCAUUCCUAACAUCAAGAAAAGGAGAGAAUGGAUACUCAGAUCAUUCUCUUAAACAACUAAUUACCCUCAAAAGCAUACGCUAUCGGCGAAUAUGCUAACAAUGUAUAUCGAGCUAACACAUCUGCUCAUAAUUUACAACCUUUACCUAUCAUUGGAAGUCCAACCAGCAAAGUUGCAUACUUUGGUUAAAGCAUCUCUCCAAGCUUCAACCUUUGCCAAGUCAUCCUGAAACAUUUCUUCAUGCUUGGCAAAUGCUUUCUCAAAAGUCCCUUUUUGUUUUUGGACAUGGAAGAGAUUCACAUCAUGAAAUAUCGGUAGAAUCCUGUUCCUAUCUUUCAUGCACUCGAGAGUUUUGGAAAGCUCAUUCAAGCGCCGUGGAGAAGAAGCAUAGUUUUGCGAGAGAACAACAAUGGCAAACCUCGAUUCUUCGAUUGCACCAUAGAGCUCAAGAGGGGUUGUGUUUCUUGCAAAUUCAUGGCCAUCCAGGAAAGUACAAAUUCCUCGAGACUGCAACUUGUGGUACAAGUGGGAGCAGAAAAUGUCUUCAUGGUCACAACUUAAGAAAACAUCCACCGCCCAUAAAGAAGCUGAAGGAAUAGAUAUCCGUAAUGGAAAUGGAAUAGAUACUCUCUGCUUCUUCAAAACCAUCUGAAAAGUCGAGCGUUUUCUGUAUUCAUUUUUCAGUCUGCAAGUUGGGAAACGAAAUUUGGUCAAUGAUUUAUCUGGGUCACGCGGUUUCUAUUAUGGAAAAUUUGAGUUCAGUACCCCAAUUAUAGCUCAUUGUGACUUUUUGACACAUAAAUUUUCAGAAUUGCCACAUUGGUAUCUAACGUUAGAAACAGGACACAUUUUAUUGACACCGGUGACCGGUCUUUAAAAAUUUACAUGUCAUCAAAUGUCAUUGGCGGCAUAUACUAAAAGUGUGUUAGGUUAUAAAUUUCUAGGCCGAGGUUAGUGACCAGAAAGAUCCACUCUACUGAAGUAACCAAGUGUUUUCUGUAAUCACGUCAACCUCCCAAGUCGAAAAAAUUUGACCACACAGUUCUACUGUCAGCUGCCUUUCCUUUCACUUGCAGUCUCUAAUUUAUUUCUAGAGGCAAAAGAAUAGAAAAGCAAAGCAACAAAUUAAGUAAAGAAGUAUAAGCACUAAUCCACUUGUGUGAAGCUUCUUUAUUCAUCAAGUAGUGUUGGUGUAGCGUGUGCUCCAUAUAUGUAGGGUUCUUGCAAACAACAUUAGCACACACCACAACCUUACUAGUUGAUGAUGAUUGCCUUAGUAGAAGUGUUAACACAAUGUUAGGGAAACGGGUUUACUCGAUUAAAUCUGAUCCAUGCAUAUUUCCCUUCAACAAAAUACAGGUCAUCGAAGAAAUGAAGAAUGUAACAGACCUACCAUAGCACCAAAAGCCAUGAUUUUCUCAGAAAUGGAUUCUUUUUCAAAACUGUGCAUGACAUCAUUGAUAAACCUGUACUAAACUCUUCCAUCAGAUACAAUUUUGCAGUGAAUUCCUGAUGUGGAGCAUUGAGCACAACUUUUUAAAGAUCAAAUGAUGACAAACAUCACUACAUAUACAGAAAGGAUGAAAAAGAAACACAAAGGAUGUCAUUGCAAUAGUGCAAGCCAUUUUGUUCAAUGUUGUACCCAAGUAACUAACCGAAACACUGUCAAUGUUGCUACAAGAUUGAUACAUUUCAACUUGAUGCAUAUAAUAAAUACACGAGUGAUAACCACAAUUAGCUUGUCAAAACAUACAGAUUAUAAUGGUAAAAGAAGAAGACAAUGGCAUUGAUUUCAAUUAUUUUACCACUAUCCCAUUAGGAGCUGAUUAUCCUAGUCCUCACUUGCACCAUCUGUUCUUGAAGAUCCACUAGCUUUAGGCUGACUUCUUACUCCUCCAUCUGGUUGAGUACAACUCCAUUCAAAAUAUCUUUAGAAAUUAGGAAGAUAUCUUGAGAAUUGAGGAAGGCUCGUCCUCUGAUUUUGAACUUUGAGAAACCGUAGAUUACACAUUGAAGAGAAGACUUCAGGAUUCAUGUCAACUUGCGUCAUUGUUAGUUGAAAUUGAGUUGAAGUCGUAAGCUUCUUGUUGAACGAUCCAUCCAUGUCCAAUACUGAUUGAUUCAAUUGUUGACAGAUUACGGCGUUCAAUAUUGAUCUUACACCGACUACGGCGUUCAAGUCACAAACAGAAGUUUUAGCUUUCCUUUUUUUUGUCCUCAUAGGAGCACCAUGUACUGACUUGACCAUUUUUUGUCCUUCAUCAAUUGCAUAAACAAGAACUAGAUCGGAGCCGUUUCCUUCCUUGUGUAGCACACUAAUAAAACAAUGAAAAAGGACGAGAAAAUCCGUUGCCAACUAGAAUUUGGAUUUGUUCAGGUUGGAAUAUAUAUAUACAAUAACAUUAACAAUAGACAUGCCCUGGUUAUAAUAAUUUCCUUCUCUUCAAUUCAAUUCUGAAACCACAAUUUUGACUGUACUUUCCAAAAGAAUGGGAAUAGGAGUAAGCAAACUGGUCAAUGUCAUCUCUUGUUUUACCAACAAAGAAGUGAAGUACCAUCUUUUGUGGCUCAGAAUGAAGAUCUCGUAAGAGAAAUCCUCUUAAGAUCCAACAAAGAAGUGAUAGCACCAUCUUCUAUGGCUGAUAAUCAAGAUCUUGUAAGAGAAAUCCUCUCAAGAUUACCCGUCAAGUCUUUAGUUAGGUUUAAGUGCGUAUCAAAAGAGUGGUUUGCUCUCCUAAAUCACGAGAUAUUCUGAGGAGCAAUCUUAGUAUACUCUACCUUCACAGUUGUGAAGGUAGACAUCAUCAUCACAAGUUCUCAUUGCUUGACAGAAAAGUCGACAAACUUUCGAGAGUAGAGUCACCUGCAUUCAUCCUGGAUCAAUCGUUUGAGAAAAUAUAUAUUGCCGGAUCUGAUAGUGGUUUGGUCUGCCUUCAUCUUCUUGGAGAUGCUGGAACCCAAUUAACGGAGCAAAUCGUCGUAUGGAACCCAGUAACAAAACAAUAUAAGAAACUACCUAAGCCUCACUUGUCUUUGGAGGGGGAUAAGAUGUUGAAGAUGUUCAAGGCCGCACCACUUGUAGGUUUUGGAUUCAUUCAAGACCAUGGCAUGGAUAUCGAUUACAAAGUGGUGAGGAUUUCAAAAUGCAAUGAUGGAAGACUUGCAACCCAAGUCUUCACCCGAAGUGCAAAAUCAUGGAGAGUACUUAAAGACUACGAUCUAAAAUGUUUUGGGGUUAUUAAAGCGUCUUGCAUUACUUUGAAUGGAGUGAUGUAUUUCUUGUCAUGGACCUGUUCGUGGGUCUACGAGGGAUGGAGAGUUUUCUCAUUCAAUCUGCAGCAUGAGGUGAUUGAUAGCAUAUCAUUACCGUUUCCGUCUGAUAUUCAUGUUAGUAGAAUAAGCGGAUCACUCUUUGCAUGGAACAAUUUGGUUGCUUGUUCGUUAUGGGUCGACAGACAUAAUCCCCAGUAUGAUGUUUGGGUGUUGGCACCAGAAUCUAGAGAUGAUCAUACACAAAUGCCAACUAGCUGGAAUUGGACGUUACAAUUUACUGUCAAAACUCCCGAUGGAUGGUACUGUGGACGUCCCUAUGGAGUUUGGGAUAAUCAACUUAUUUUUAUCAAAGGCUGUACUGAUAGACGGCGUCACACAGGUUCUGAACGUCAUCUAUGUUCGUAUGACCUCGAAAAUCAGAGAGAGAUGAUGCUUAUCGGACCAGAAGGUGGUUAAUGUCGUCAAGUGGUAGAAUACGUGGAGAGCCUAGUUUCGGUCUAAGCAAAUAAAUACCAUGGAUCAACAAGCUAGGGUUAAGGUAGUUUUUCUUAAUUCAGAAGGAUAAAAUAGUUAAAGCGAAAAAACAGAUAAUGUCUUCAUCCCCUGUUGUAUAUAAGGAAAUUAGGUUUUUGUGUGUGUUUUAGUCAAAGUAUAAAUAGAAUAGGAUUCAAUAUGAAUAUAUGUAUUUUCCUUAUGUAUCGUAUUUUUUAUAUAUAGAAGUUAAUUCUAUGAAUGAAAUAUAUCGAUAUUCUCCCCAAAUUGUCUCUCUCAGUUUAUUUCUCUUGUAUACACGUUAUCAGACACUCUACUUUAACCCUAACUUUGAUAAGCCAACACGAAAAAAAACCCUAACCCUAGCCCUUGCCGUGCACCCCUACAACACAAAAACCAAUUUCAGGCGGACGAGAAUCCACCAACGGCCCCAGAACACAUCUUGUACCCACUGAUUCCACGAUUCCAACGCUGCCAAACUCACCACAAGAAUCGGCCGUAAAGACACCGAACCGGUUGCUAGAAUCUAUAGACUUGUCAACAAAAUCCUCCGAUUCACCCUCUUCCCCGAAUCCAUUUAACGCCAAAUUUUGUCAACAAAAGCGCACCUAUGUCAGGCCUAAUUGUCUAGAACCAUACAACAAGAACCGGUCUACAAGUUGGUGAACCGGUCUUCAAAAUGAUUGCAACACAAUUUUUAAAAAAAAAAAAAAAAAAAAAAAAAAAAAAAAAAAAAAAACCUAAAAGUCUAAUUAUGUUUUAUUUUACUUUAGAGAAAAGCACUUUGGUAUCCCACUUUACAAAAAUAUCAGUUUGGUUUCCUACAUUCACACCCGUACCUAACAUAAGUACCCGAAAAUAUAAAAAAACCGCUGACAAUACAUACAUAUUUCCACAGACCUCAGGUUGAUAUAAUCUGAAUUUUAAUGGAGAAGAGCAUACAAAAGAAAAUACAAUGCAUACUGAAUUACAUACAACCAUGAUGAUAAAAGGACCAGAAAGUACUAAAGAAAAUCAUAACUUCAUAGAGGAUUCAGCAACACGAGUAAUGGAGAAGAGCAGUAGAUUAGCAAAGGUAUUGGUGUUGUGAGAAACUGGACAACAACAAUGUAAAAGGGGUAGAAUAGCCGCCCUUGCUUUCUUGUUUUUAAAUUUCAUAGUGGGAGAAAAAAGAAUUGUUUACUGGUGAAAGCAUAAAUUGAUACUUUAGUGCAUAACAUUAUCACCAAAAUCCCUCAGCUGUGUAAACUUCAUAUAAAAUUAAAAGGGAAAACAGAAUAACAUAAUUCUAAGAUGAGCAAUUUCCAUCAUUAUCAGAUUUAAAGUAGGAUUCUAUCCAAAAAUAUGAUUUAUGGUAUGGUAUGACCUUGUCCAUGCUAAACUCCAUGGUUUCCAAAACAAUCAAAAGAGCAAUAAAGACUAAGCAACAAUAUCAAUCCAUGCCACCUUCAAGCUGGUGCAGCUUGCAGUAGGGGAUGCUCAAACUAUGCUAAAAGCAUCUGCAAAGGAGAUUUUUAAAGAAUCUACGAUCAAAUAAAAGCACAAUUGUGUGACUGACCAAAAUCUUGCAUUAUGCGCAACAAGUAAUAGCUGAACCACUAGAAAGCACUCUCCUGGUACAGCAAGAUUCUUGAGAGUUCCUAAGAGAGCAGAAAUCAGAAGACUCGGGAGACAUCAUGAGAACAAAUGGGAAACACCCAUUGAUUCUAAGAACUACAAAAGGCAGGAGUUCAAUAGAACAAAGUACUACGGUACAACAACAGCACGCUGCUAAAAUAAAUGAAUCACUUGUGCCUCCCGCAAACACAAUUCUCAGACCCUACAUCAGCUGCAAUACAUGGAGGCUGAACUUUCCCAUCCUUGUACCAUGUUGAGCGUUUUUCAACUAGUUCGUUUAAGAAAUCAUCCAGUUUAUCAACGCUCACACUUGGCAUCACCACAACAUGUGCAAUGUUUCCUUGGCAAGCCAACUGCCACCUACGAACAAACUCCUCAUCUUGAGGCCGCUCAAAUACAACUGUGCUACUUAGCUCAUUCAGCAUGGCACUAAUCCCAGCAUCACGAAGACGGUCUUUCAAGUAGUGAGCAUUUCUAAGACACUUCUGAACUUCUUUUUGGAAUCCUUUGUAACCUUUUCUGUUGAGGGUGUACCAUAGGAAAAUAGGAGCAUGGCCAUUCCUGCUUCCCAUGAUUGUCGCAUCCCUUGAAGCAAGGUAUUCUACAUUAUUUGAAAGGACAUUAAUGUGCUCCAGCCUUGUUAUCUGAACACCACAAGGCAUUGGACAUCCUACAAACUUGUGACCAGAAACGCUCACACUUCCAAUGGGCUUCUUGAAAGAAACUUUUGGUGCCUGCUCACAACUAAACAUAGUGAGCAACAGAAGAAAACAACCCAGAACAGAAAAUUUUGCAUAUUACAUAGAGAAGGAAACAGAAAAUAGUCUAAGAUGCUCCUGUUAUUCAAACAUAUGCUCUGUAUCGCAUCCUCAAGAUUUUUCUUUUCACUACUCCAUGCUGAUCUGUCACCUACGACUCACACUAGCUAAAACUAGGCCAGCUCCAAUCCCAUUCUUGGCUAACAGUUUAAAGUUUCAACAUUUAUUUACAACAUGAUCCACUUAUUCAUGCAUUGUCUAUCUCUACCAUCCGACCAAAGAUAUCAUCCGUUUGCAUCAAUAUGAAGGAAACAUUAUCAUCAAAAUGACAGCAAUGAAUUACUAUAGUCAAAUAGAGCAUGGCAAUCAGAUAACCAUGGCUUUUUUAGGUAAACUGGACACUUAAACUAAAUGUUACAUGUCCAAUUGGCUAAGGCAAAUUUUAAACAAAAAACCUCAGGACCAAAUCCCCAAUUAUGGAACAAAAAUGUUUUAAAUGGGCAUAAUAAAAUUCCUAUGCAGAACAAGGGUUGAAAUUAGAUGACAUACAAGUUUGACGAAAGGCAUCAUGAGUCCAAAUAAGGCUCCAUCACAGUGAAUGUAGAACCGAUCAUGAUUGAAUCCACAUUCUUCAAGGGUUUUUAUGACAAGAUCCAGAUCAUCCACAGCCCCUUUAACAGUUGUUCCUGCAAAUUGCAAUGCAAGAAACUCAACUCACUGAACCAAACAAGUAAAAAAACACAAACCAGAACAGUGAAAUUAUGUUUUGCCUCAACUUACACUUACCUAUGUUAACAUUAAUGAUAGCCGGUUUGUCCUUGUUAGCAAGAAGCUUAGCUCUAAAAUCUGCGCAAUCAAUCUCACCGGACAUCAGAGUAUCAACCUUUACGCAUUCCAUUCUAUACAUUCUCGCUGCUUUAAAUAUCGAAUAAUGUGUAUCCUUGGAAGCAUAUAGAAUCCCAUCCGGAUGCACUUCUCUCCUGCAAUCAAUCAAAUUCUUUAGUUUAGCCAUAACUAGCUCAAUCCUUCAUCCAGUUCAAUAGAAUCGUAGACUUACCCAACUAGAAUUCCAUGGAGAUUUCCUUCGGUACCGCAAUUGGUGAUGUAACCCCAGUACUCAUUCUUCUCAAUCUCCCAAAGCCGAGCAAACCAAUCAAGAACUCCCACCUCAAACUGCCUCGAAUGGACUCCGUAGUUGCUCUCAAUAAACGGAUCGCCGAGAUUGUUGAUCGAGAAAUGCUGCAACUGGCUCAGAGCUCCAUAGUCGAAAUCCAGAUUAUAAGGAUACCCUGCAUCGAAUUGAAUUUCAAUUUCAAAGAUUCAACUUCCAAGAUUCAAUUGAUUUUGAACUACUGAAAAGAGCGACGACGUCGUUUUGGAUUUGGAUUUUACCUAAAUGGUGCUUGGUGCGCUCCAUCAGAGUCUUGCGGUAGCGAGCGAGGACGCUGGCCAUGUAGGCGUCCUUGUCGCCGGUGAACUCGUCGUUGGCGUCGGGCUCGGUGACGGCGAGGCAGGUGGUGUGGACGUUGCGGCCGAGGACGAUCUCGCGCUUGUUGGGAUCCUCGGCGACCUUGCCGAUGAGGUUGCCGUUGGUGGUGACGACGGGAGGGAGAGGCUCGGCGACCACGGCGGUGGGGUCGAAAUGCUCGGAGAGAAUGUCGACCAGGCCAACAACCCCAUUCUCAAUCUCCAUGAAAUUCUGCAACGAAAUCUAACAGCUUGAAAACUUGAGAGGGAGAGAGAGAGGAGUUGGAGAGGAAGGGAAAUGAGGGGGGUUGGGGUUUAUUUAUAGUGUCGAUAUUUUUAAGCUGGGUUUAACACGCACUCCCUAAUAAUUAGUCAAAUAUUCCACGUCUGCUCUUUUCUGAUUUUCUUCAUAUCGAUUAUUAAUUUUUUUAUUUUUUAUCAAUAAUUAGAAUUGAUUUGAUUUCAGUAGCCGACCCUUCAAUCAUCAUAGAGUUUCAUUAAUAGUGUCCAUAAUGACAUUAUCUUUCACACCUUAGGUGGUUGAGUUGGUAGAAACGGAACCGUAUAUUUAGGUUCAAAUCUCGCCGAUGUUAAUUGGAAUUAAAUCUCAAUUUAUUCUUAAUGGUUAAGGGGAGGAAACGUUCUCACAUGAUUAUUCGGCUCGGAUUAAUCCUUGGGUCUAAAAAACCUUUGAAGAUAUCGUCGUUGAUACUCUAAAAAAAAAAAAAAAAAAUCUUCUACAGAUAUGAGGUUUUUACUGCAUUCAUGUUUAUUGUUAAGACUUGAGACGAUAUUGUGGCUCACAUCUUAGCCAAUUUUACUUAUUUUUCUUAUAGUUAUUUAACUUGAGGUCUAGAAUAUUCAGCUUGUAUUGUACUGUUGAAUGUAAUUUUUAACGAGUUUACCUGGUUUCUAGCAUUUUAUGAAUUGACAUUUUUUCAAAGAAAAGGAAAUUGUAAAGUAAUAUAUCUAUAUCUUGAGAGUUGUUUUUAAAUGAUCAGUAGCAUUUUUGUUCUAUUAUGUACAGGUAAACAAAAUUAGAACUACAUACAAAACAUCUUUUUACUUUCUAUCAGCUGAUUCAAACAGAACAUGGGAGACACAAAAAGAGAAACAAGUUAAACCAAAUAAUCACUACCAAAGUGUCAUUUUUGUUCUAUUAUGUGAUAAAACGGUUUGCUUAGAGAGGAAGGAAAAGUGGAAAACUGUGAAUAUUCAGAAUCUGGCAGAAUAUAAAACUUCGUCGGUCUGCACAGAUAUUUCAGUAAUUGCAUAUACUCCUCACGUUGAUUGGGCCAUUGGGGUAUAGUAGUAGCAGGACCACAUCCAUUUCUGAAAAUAAAUUAAUCACUGUCACGUGGCCACUGCCCAUGCAAAGCGAAAGACAACACAAAUUGAAUUUCCCUACCAUCAACUUCAAACACUUAUUUCUUUAAAAGUGAUUAUUCAAAAAAAGGAAGAAAAUAUUAAAUAUAAUUUGUUAAAAUUAAUAUGCAACUGGACUCUUGCUCUUGCUGGGACAACUUGGCGACUUGCCUUGGCGCCAGUAUAUUUUUCUCUUUUAUUUUCUGCGACGGGUUCUCUUGGGAAAGUAAACAAAUGUGAUCCCCUUCUUUAUUUUUGUGUGUUCAUGAUCAUAUCCAGAGACUAGAGUAGAGCUACGGAGGACCAUGCCUCUCCUCGAUCAUGUGUUCACUCGCAAUCACUCUAGCUUCUCAAAUAUAGUAGGAACUAGGAAGUAGUCAUCUUGAAUUGUUCAGUAAAAUUGUCAUAUAUUGGCUGCGUUUGGUGCAGCUGGGCUUUUAAGAAUAAGUAAGUUUUUACUUAUUCUUGAGAAUAAAUGGCUGAAAAACCAAAUAGCCGAAUGUUUAGUAAACUGACUUUUUAUAAG